Molecule: ribosomal RNA, 370 nt
Filed under: Eremias velox (rapid racerunner)
Lineage: Eukaryota; Metazoa; Chordata; Lepidosauria; Squamata; Lacertidae
Description: partial 12S ribosomal RNA
Rfam family: Bacterial small subunit ribosomal RNA
Source: RNAcentral
CUGCUCUCCGCCAGAGAACUACAAGUGAAAAACUUUAAACUCAAAGGACUUGGCGGUGUCCCAUAUCGACCUAGAGGAGCCUGUCCUAUAAUCGAUAUUCCCCGCUCUACCUAACCUCAACUAGCACCCCCAGCCUAUAUACCGCCGUCGACAGUCUACCCCAUGAGGGCCCAACAGUAGACACAAUAGCCCAACCGCUAACACGUCAGGUCAAGGUGUAGCACAUGCUGAGGAAGAGAUUGGCUACAUUUUUUACAUUAAAAAACACGAAAUGCAACAUGAAACCCUGCAUGAAGGUGAAUUUAGUAGUAAGAUCUAAUGAGAGUAUUUAUCUUAACAACGCUCUGGGACGCGCACACACCGCCCGUCA